This 337-nucleotide unclassified non-coding RNA is filed under the name soil metagenome. Its description in RNAcentral is "partial contains 5.8S ribosomal RNA, internal transcribed spacer 2, and large subunit ribosomal RNA". The stretch from base 1 to 120 matches the Rfam family "5.8S ribosomal RNA", at positions 35 to 154 of the family's 154-position model. The record is from RNAcentral.
GAUGAAGAACGUAGCGAAAUGCGAUAAGUAGUGUGAAUUGCAGAAUUCAGUGAAUCAUCGAAUCUUUGAACGCACAUUGCGCCCCAUGGUAUUCCGUGGGGCAUGCCUGUUCGAGCGUCAUUUACCCCCUCAAGCUCCGCUUGGUGUUGGGCGUCUGUCCCGCUUCGCGCGCGGACUCGCCCCAAAGGUAUUGGCAGCGGUCGUGCCAGCUUCUCGCGCAGCACAUUGCGCUUCUCGAGGCACCGGUGGGCCCGCGUCCAUCAAGCUCACCCCCCCAGUUUGACCUCGGAUCAGGCAGGGAUACCCGCUGAACUUAAGCAUAUCAAUAAGCGGAGGA